AUUUUCUGCCACCGAAUACAUUAGCAUGGGAUAAUGGAAUAGGACCCUGUCCUCCUAUUUUCAGUUGGUUUUGGCAGCGCGAGGACUAGGGUAAUGAUUAAUAGGGAUAGUUGGGGGCAUUAAUAUUUAAUUGUCAGAGGUGAAAUUCUUGGAUUUAUGAAAGAUUAACUUCUGCGAAAGCAUCUGCCAAGGAUGUUUUCAUUAAUCAAGAACGAAAGUUAGGGGAUCGAAGACGAUCAGAUACCGUCGUAGUCUUAACCAUAAACGAUGCCGACCAGCGAUUAGGAGACGUUGAAUACAAAACACCACCAUCGGCGCGGUCGUCCUUGGCGYKYKYGUGYWCRCRCRAGGGCGAGGGAGGSUUASUCCGAUGGGWGGSGYGAAUGACUGCCUCC
RNAcentral lists this ribosomal RNA (395 nucleotides) under Acanthamoeba genotype T4. RNAcentral describes it as "partial 18S ribosomal RNA". It matches the Rfam family "Eukaryotic small subunit ribosomal RNA", at positions 795 to 1091 of the family's 1831-position model. Lineage: Eukaryota; Discosea; Longamoebia; Acanthamoebidae. The record is from RNAcentral.